UAUAGGUGAAAGUCCUUUAUGUCUCU
This 26-nucleotide transfer RNA is filed under the name Martes americana caurina. RNAcentral describes it as "partial tRNA-Asp". The record is from RNAcentral. Lineage: Eukaryota; Metazoa; Chordata; Mammalia; Carnivora; Mustelidae.